AUUGAACGCUGGCGGCAUGCUUUACACAUGCAAGUCGAACGGCAGCGCGGUCUUCGGCCUGGCGGCGAGUGGCGAACGGGUGAGUAAUACAUCGGAACGUGCCCAGUAGUGGGGGAUAGCUCGGCGAAAGCCGGAUUAAUACCGCAUACGACCUGAGGGUGAAAGCGGGGGAUCUUCGGACCUCGCGCUAUUGGAGCGGCCGAUGGCAGAUUAGCUAGUUGGCGGGGUAAAGGCCUACCAAGGCGACGAUCUGUAGCUGGUCUGAGAGGACGACCAGCCACACUGGGACUGAGACACGGCCCAGACUCCUACGGGAGGCAGCAGUGGGGAAUUUUGGACAAUGGGCGAAAGCCUGAUCCAGCAAUGCCGCGUGUGUGAUGAAGGCCUUCGGGUUGUAAAGCCCUUUUGGCGGGAACGAAAAGGACUGUGCCAAUACCACGGUUCGAUGACGGUACCCGCAGAAUAAGCACCGGCUAACUACGUG
This 484-nucleotide ribosomal RNA is filed under the name uncultured bacterium. RNAcentral describes it as "partial 16S ribosomal RNA". It matches the Rfam family "Bacterial small subunit ribosomal RNA", at positions 29 to 507 of the family's 1533-position model. The record is from RNAcentral.